This 235-nucleotide ribosomal RNA is filed under the name uncultured Candidatus Saccharibacteria bacterium. RNAcentral's name for it is "partial 16S ribosomal RNA". It matches the Rfam family "Bacterial small subunit ribosomal RNA", at positions 584 to 818 of the family's 1533-position model. Lineage: Bacteria; Candidatus Saccharimonadota. The record is from RNAcentral.
UAAGCAGGUAGUGAAAUCGUGUGGCUCAACCAUACUCACAUUAUCUGAACUGCAAAGCUAGAGGAUGAGAGAGGUUAUUGGAAUUCCAAGUGUAGGAGUGAAAUCCGUAGAUAUUUGGAGGAACACCGAUGGCGUAGGCAGAUAACUGGCUCAUUCCUGACACUCAGGCACGAAAGCGUGGGAGCAAACGGGAUUAGACUACCCCGGUAGUCCACGCCGUAAACGAUGGAUGCUA